UCAGGCAAGAGUGGAGCACAGAGGAAAGAGGUGUCUUUCUCAAGAGAGACGCAAACUGCAGGUCAAGGUGCAUCACCAGCCACGAACAGGCAGCUUCCGAAUCAAGUAGGAGGGAAAUGGUUCCUUCCUCCAAAGACUCUUAAAAGAGAAGCCCCUGCUGCAGAAUAGAAAGAGGCUCCGGAGGAGCAGUGAGCUCGGGGAACCCCCCUGAAGAUCCCCAGUUUCUGUGUGCAGCUGCCUCAGGCCCAGACACAUUCUUCCAUCUGGAGCAUGUCCCCACAGAUCUUCCCGGCCGCGGCUGUGGUCCGCGUUAUCUCAGGCUGUCAGGUCUCAGAAAUUAGAAACCAUCUCAUCUCAUCAGGGUCAUCCCACACCGUCUGCCACCAUAGAUGGAGAGGAUUUCAUGUGAUGUUUUCUGAAGAUGAUUCUGUUGUCCCAGGAGAGCCCUUGAUGGGCGUGGCAGCCUUUGAGCCUGUGCAGCCAGGUGGUUUAUUCUCCCAGUGACUUUCCAACCAGAUACUCUCAGUCAGAGUGAAGGGCUCCACUUACAAACUCCCUUUCCCAUUAACUCGUCAGAGUUAUGCCAUUCAUCUUUAUUCUUUUUAAAAUAUUUAUACUCAAAGAAAUUGUAUGAGGAGUGAGCACACACCAAUCAUGUAACUGUCAAAUGAAAGCCUUUCCUUAAAUGUUCAAGGGCACUGGAGUAAUACAUUUGGAGUCAUGCAGA
Long non-coding RNA from Piliocolobus tephrosceles (Ugandan red Colobus), 727 nucleotides. RefSeq lists it as uncharacterized. The transcript is spliced from 2 exons. The record is from RefSeq and is a predicted model, not a curated record. Lineage: Eukaryota; Metazoa; Chordata; Mammalia; Primates; Cercopithecidae.